AAUAUUAGAGAAAAUAGGAGAUAAUAACUUUAUAGAAACCGAAGCUGGUAAUCCUAUAGAAAUAAAUACGGAAGAUAUUAAAGAUACAAAACCAAGUACAUCAGGUACAUCAGAAGUAAAAAAUCCAAAAGAAUUAAGACCUAAUUAUUAUACAGUCAGUUAUGAAGAAUCUGAUAGAUAUGAUAGUCUAUGGAAUAAAAGAUUAAACAAAAAAUGGACGCC
RNAcentral lists this long non-coding RNA (222 nucleotides) under Solanum tuberosum (potato). Its description in RNAcentral is "long non-coding RNA (STUB_LNC010006)". Lineage: Eukaryota; Viridiplantae; Streptophyta; Magnoliopsida; Solanales; Solanaceae. The record is from RNAcentral.